Molecule: ribosomal RNA, 343 nt
Filed under: Epiperipatus sp. ony096
Lineage: Eukaryota; Metazoa; Onychophora; Udeonychophora; Euonychophora; Peripatidae
Description: partial small subunit ribosomal RNA
Source: RNAcentral
CCCUGUUAUUCUAUUAUAAUAUAAUAUUUCAAAAAGAUACAAUAUAAUAAAUUUGACGGUAUUAACUUUUACAAAGGAAUUUGUUUCUAAUAAUCGAAAAUACACGAUAAACCUUACUUAAUAUAUAUUUGUAUACCACCGUACUUCAGAAAUUAUUUAAAAUAAAUUUCAAAAAAAAAACUUUUAAAAAAUCAGGUCAAGGUGCAAUUUAAUUAAGACGAAAUGAAUUACAUUAAUAUUAAUUACAUAUAAAUACUGAAAGAUAUUUAAAAAUAGAAUUUGUUAGUAAAAUUAAAUCAUUAUGUAAAUUUGAAAACUAACAUUAAUAUGUACAUAUCGCCCG